RNAcentral lists this long non-coding RNA (311 nucleotides) under Mytilus galloprovincialis (Mediterranean mussel). Lineage: Eukaryota; Metazoa; Mollusca; Bivalvia; Mytilida; Mytilidae. The record is from RNAcentral.
CCCCGGGGACAAGUUUUUUUUGUAUACGGAAAAAAAAAACUUAAACAAUUAAAGUCAAGUCUAUUAGAAAACAGAUCUUCAGGAAUGUUCUGUUAAAGUCAUCUGGAAGCGAACAAGAAUAAACGUAUGGUGUCCUUUCACAAUUUUAAACGUAUGGUGUCCUUUCACAAUUUUAAACAUAUGGUGUCCUUUCACAAUUUUAAAUGUAUGGUGUCCUUUCACAAUUUUAAAAGUAUGGUGUCCUCUCACAAUUUGAAACAUAUGGUGUCCUUUUCCAAUUUUAAAUGUAUGGUGUCCUUUCACAAUUUUAA